This 794-nucleotide ribosomal RNA is filed under the name uncultured Bacillota bacterium. Its description in RNAcentral is "bacterial SSU rRNA". It matches the Rfam family "Bacterial small subunit ribosomal RNA", at positions 65 to 840 of the family's 1533-position model. Lineage: Bacteria; Bacillati; Bacillota. The record is from RNAcentral.
AACGCGGUUACCUCGCAAGGGGUAGCUGAGUGGCGAACGGGUGAGUAACACGUGGGUGACCUACCUUCGAGUGGGGGAUAACGUCCCGAAAGGGACGCUAAUACCGCAUAACAUCCUGCCUUUGAACAGGUGGAGAUCAAAGCUGGGGAUCGCAAGACCUGGCGCUUGAUGAGGGGCCCGCGUCCGAUUAGCUAGUUGGUGAGGUAACGGCUCACCAAGGCGACGAUCGGUAACCGGCCUGAGAGGGCGGACGGUCACACUGGGACUGAGACACGGCCCAGACUCCUACGGGAGGCAGCAGUGGGGAAUUGUUCGCAAUGGGCGAAAGCCUGACGACGCAACGCCGCGUGGAGGAUGAAGGUCUUCGGAUUGUAAACUCCUGUUGCCCGGGACGAAAUGCUUCAACCUAAUACGUUGAAGUUUGACGGUACCGGGUGAGGAAGCCCCGGCUAACUCUGUGCCAGCAGCCGCGGUAAUACAGAGGGGGCAAGCGUUGUUCGGAAUUACUGGGCGUAAAGGGCGCGUAGGCGGCCUGCUAAGUCGAACGUGAAAUCCCUGGGCUCAACCCAGGAACUGCGUCCGAUACUGGUUGGCUUGAAUCCGGGAGAGGGAUGCGGAAUUCCAGGUGUAGCGGUGAAAUGCGUAGAUAUCUGGAGGAACACCGGUGGCGAAGGCGGCAUCCUGGACCGGCAUUGACGCUGAGGCGCGAAAGCCAGGGGAGCAAACGGGAUUAGAUACCCCGGUAGUCCUGGCCCUAAACGAUGAAUGCUGGGUGUGGCGGGUAUCGAUCCCUG